Hyla sarda is the source of this 658-nucleotide long non-coding RNA. RefSeq lists it as uncharacterized. The transcript is spliced from 3 exons. Lineage: Eukaryota; Metazoa; Chordata; Amphibia; Anura; Hylidae. The record is from RefSeq and is a predicted model, not a curated record.
UAAGCUGCUAGCAACCCUAUCCCUGUAAGAAGUGUCCCAGACAGAAGACAACAUCUGUGAGUACGAGGAUGAGGAUCGGCUGGCAAAGUGAGGAACCAAUGGUGUCCAGGCGUCGAACUUUACAGAGGAAGAUGGAGCUGGAAGAAGACAUGGCGUCUGGACCAGAUGAAGAAGAAAAGUCAAAUGUUGGCACCCCUGAAAUUUUUCAAGAAAAUGAAGUAUUUCUCACAGAAAGGAUUGAGUCAGAAAUCUGGGUUUGCGUCCGAGAUCUAGAGUCUUCCACCAGGACAAUGAUCACAAACAUACGUCAAAAAGCACCCAGAAAUGGAUGGCAACAAAGGGCUGGAGAGUUUUGAAGUGGCCAGAUCUAAAUCCCAUUGGACACCUGCGGAGAGAUCUUAAAAUUGCUGUUGGGAAAAGACGCCUUCCAAUAAGAGAGACCUGGAGCAGUUUGCAAAGGAAGAGUGGUCCAACUUUCCGGCUGAGAGGUGUAAGAAGCUUAUUGAUGGUUAUAGGAAAUGACUGAUUUCAGUUAUUUAUUUCCAAAAGGGUGUGCAACCAAAUAUUAAGUUAAAGGGGUUAUCCAGGAAAAAACUUUUCUUUUAUAUAUCAAUUGGCUCCAGAAAGUUAAACAGAUUUGUAAAUCACUUCUAUUAAA